AGUGAACGCUGGCGGUAGGCCUAACACAUGCAAGUCGAACGGCAGCACAGUAAGAGCUUGCUCUUACGGGUGGCGAGUGGCGGACGGGUGAGGAAUACAUCGGAAUCUACUUUUUCGUGGGUGAUAACGUAGGGAAACUUACGCUAAUACCGCAUACGACCUACGGGUGAAAGCAGGGGAUCUUCGGACCUUGCGCGAUUGAAUGAGCCGAUGUCGGAUUAGCUAGUUGGCGGGGUAAAGGCCCACCAAGGCGACGAUCCGUAGCUGGUCUGAGAGGAUGGUCAGCCACACUGGAACUGAGACACGGUCCAGACUCCUACGGGAGGCAGCAGUGGGGAAUAUUGGACAAUGGGCGCAAGCCUGAUCCAGCCAUACCGCGUGGGUGAAGAAGGCCUUCGGGUUGUAAAGCCCUUUUGUUGGGAAAGAAAAGCAGCAGGUUAAUACCCCGCUGUUCUGACGGUACCCAAAGAAUAAGCACCGGCUAACUUCGUG
RNAcentral lists this ribosomal RNA (492 nucleotides) under uncultured bacterium. RNAcentral's name for it is "partial 16S ribosomal RNA". It matches the Rfam family "Bacterial small subunit ribosomal RNA", at positions 29 to 507 of the family's 1533-position model. The record is from RNAcentral.